RNAcentral lists this ribosomal RNA (269 nucleotides) under uncultured prokaryote. RNAcentral's name for it is "partial 16S ribosomal RNA". It matches the Rfam family "Bacterial small subunit ribosomal RNA", at positions 524 to 792 of the family's 1533-position model. The record is from RNAcentral.
UACGUAGGUGGCAAGCGUUACUCGGAAUUACUAGGCGUAAAGCGCGUGUAGAUGGUUCAAUAAGUCGGACGUGAAAGCUCUCGGCUCAACCGGGAGAGGUCGUUCGAAACUAUUGGACUUGAGUGUGGGAGGGGAAUUUGGAAUUCCUGGUGUAGCGGUGAAAUGCGUAGAUAUCAGGAGGAAUACCAAUGGCGAAGGCAGAAUUCUGGCCCAAUACUGACAUUGAGACGCGACAGCUAGGGGAGCAAACAGGAUUAGAUACCCUCGUA